CUGCAUUCGAAACUGGCAGGAUAGAGUCUAGUAGAGGGGGGUAGAAUUCCAGGUGUAGCGGUGAAAUUCGUAGAGAUCGGGAGGAAUACCGUUGGCGAAGGCGGCCCCCUGGACAAAGACUGACGCUAAGGUGCGAAAGCGUGGGGAGCAAACAGGUUUAGAUAGCCUGGUAGUCCUCGCCGUAAACGAUGUCGAUUUGGAGGUUGUGCCCUUGAGGCGUGGCUUCCUGAGCUAACGCGUUAA
This 243-nucleotide ribosomal RNA is filed under the name Klebsiella pneumoniae. Its description in RNAcentral is "partial 16S ribosomal RNA". It matches the Rfam family "Bacterial small subunit ribosomal RNA", at positions 621 to 863 of the family's 1533-position model. The record is from RNAcentral. Lineage: Bacteria; Pseudomonadati; Pseudomonadota; Gammaproteobacteria; Enterobacterales; Enterobacteriaceae.